This 598-nucleotide ribosomal RNA is filed under the name uncultured fungus. RNAcentral describes it as "eukaryotic LSU rRNA". It matches the Rfam family "Eukaryotic large subunit ribosomal RNA", at positions 40 to 647 of the family's 3401-position model. The record is from RNAcentral. Lineage: Eukaryota; Fungi.
AUAUCAAUAAGCGGAGGAAAAGAAACUAACAAGGAUUCCCCUAGUAACUGCGAGUGAAGCGGGAAAAGCUCAAAUUUGGAAUCUGGUGGUCUUUGGCCCAUCCGAGUUGUAAUUUAGAGAAGCGUCUUCCGCGCUGGACCGUGCACAAGUCUCCUGGAAUGGAGCGUCAUAGAGGGUGAGAAUCCCGUCUUUGGCAUGGAAUCCCAGGGCUUCUGUGAUGCGCUCUCGACGAGUCGAGUUGUUUGGGAAUGCAGCUCAAAAUGGGUGGUGAACUCCAUCUAAAGCUAAAUAUUGGCGAGAGACCGAUAGCGAACAAGUACCGUGAGGGAAAGAUGAAAAGCACUUUGGAAAGAGAGUGAAACAGUACGUGAAAUUGUUGAAAGGGAAGCGCUUGCAACCAGACUUGCACGCUGCCGAUCAUCUGGGGUUCUCUCCAGUGCACUCGGCUGCGUUCAGGCCAGCAUCGGUUUGGGUGGUUGGAUAAAGGCCUUGGGAAUGUAGCUUCUUUCGGGGAGUGUUAUAGCCCUCGGUGCAAUGCAGCCUACCUGGACCGAGGACCGCGCUUCGGCUAGGAUGCUGGCGUAAUGGUUGUAAGCGA